GUAAUAGUAUUAUGUAAGUCGCUCUGGAUAAGAGCGUCUGCUAAAUUACUAAAG
Molecule: non-coding RNA, 54 nt
Organism: Salmo salar (Atlantic salmon)
Lineage: Eukaryota; Metazoa; Chordata; Actinopteri; Salmoniformes; Salmonidae
Source: Rfam